AAAAUAAUAUAUCAUUGACAUAAUACAUAAACCGUUUACACAUACGAAAUAUUGUUCGCAAAACAAUUCCAAGUUUGUUAUGUUAUAAAUACAGACUAUGAAAACCGAAAUCUAUUAUUAUGAAGUUGUAUUCUGGAUGGUGAGAAUAUUGAUAAUGUAGAUAGGUGCUCAUUACUCCACUGCCUACCAGCUAUCUGUAUUUAAUGUAUAAUGUUCUAAACGAAUGUUAGCCGCUAGGUACGGGUACCUAAUACCUACCUUAAUAUGAAACAAUUUA
Cinara cedri is the source of this 277-nucleotide non-coding RNA. Lineage: Eukaryota; Metazoa; Arthropoda; Insecta; Hemiptera; Aphididae. The record is from the annotation of a GenBank genome assembly.